CGGUAGUUGGGACGUCGGGCGAAGAGAGCAGGUGAGCGGGCAGGCAGGAGUCGGUACACAGGGGAACAAUCAACGCAGGCAGAAGUAUCAAAGGAGUCAGGCUUACAAGGUUGGUCGGAGAACAGGCGAAGGUCGGUACAUACAGGUUCGAUCAGGGAUACCGGAGCAAACGAACGGGACACGAAGAUCAACGAACUGGCGCCGGCCAGUUGUCAUCGUGGUCAUAUAAAUCCACAACAUAAUCAGGCUGCAUGAGGCGCAGGUGUGCACCUCCCAAUCAGCGCACCUGCGCAGACACCCGGACAGCUCGUGCUGGAGCGGCAGGAUCAUGACAAGUAAUUUGUGCAUACCAGGGCGGCAACGACUGGCCUAUGAUGCAGUCAGACACCAACCUCUGUGUCCAGUGUCCCUCUGUGUCCAGUCUCCCUCUAUGCACCAGAACAUAACGCAUUGUAGCCAGGGUGUGCGGACUGCCCCAGCUACAUGAGGAUGCUCUCCACGGUAGUUCUAUUGAAAGCCAGCAGCACGAAGUGGGGUCACUGGUGUAUUGCUGGUUGCCAGUUCAUUGCAUGAAACUGCAUUAGUUUGCAUGAGUAUACGACCCUCUUGUUGUGUAUUCGCCUCGUUGUCAUGGCCAGCAAUCUUUUGCCACCAUAGCUAAGUCUAGUCUUGUUUUUGCCUAGGAGUUACCUAACCUCAUUUUCAUGUUUUUGGAGAUUGCCUCUUGCCACAUGUUUUUGUGCCUUUGCCUUUUUUGCACUGCUUACCUGUGUAUGACCGCUGCCUGGAUUAAAACCACCCUCAACAUAAUGUCACUGCCCCAGAGUCCUGUAUUUGGGUCCUAUCCCUUGUCCCAUGCUCAUGAUGAUAAGCGGCUCAGAAAAUGGAUGGAUGGAUGGAUGGGUUUUCUUUGAGUAAUCCAGCUUCCUACCGCAUUCCAAACAUGUUAAUGUUUAAUUGAUGCCUUGAAAUAGGCCAAAGGUGUAAUUUUAUGUCUGAAUGCUUGUCUACAGUAUAUACUGGACAGUAUGCACUUGCAACUGACUGGCAACCAUUUAUCAGUGUACCCUGCCUUUCACCCAAAAUAAACUGGAAUACAUACGGUCACCCGCAACUUCACUGAGGACAAGUUGUAAAGAAAAUGAAUGGAUUGACAUUGGUUAAGCUUUCACAGCCCGCUGCCCUAAGAGAUUUAAACAUCAUGUUAUUCAUGGCAACAGAAGAGGUGUGCAACAUUUGAAAUGUUGAGGUACCCCUCCCCUUCAAAGUAGUGAAGC
Molecule: long non-coding RNA, 1277 nt
Organism: Syngnathoides biaculeatus (alligator pipefish)
Lineage: Eukaryota; Metazoa; Chordata; Actinopteri; Syngnathiformes; Syngnathidae
Exons: 3
Source: RefSeq, a predicted model, not a curated record